GUGGAAAUACGUAACAUUUUGUGGUGCAGCAGAGUGGGAGGCAGAAAAUCUGGAUCUUAUUACCAGUUUGGCCAUGGUCUUCCUAUGUGAACAUGGUAUGGAUACUUCUGGGCAACCUGAAGCUUCUUUGUGGGACAUAACAAAUGGCUACAGCUGCUCAUGCUCAUACCACCCAGAUGUCCUGGGAUGUGGCUGCACAGCAGCCCAGACCUGCUCUUCAACAGCUCCUCAGUUUACUGGGAACUAAGGGAGAAAAUCUAAGGGAGAAAUUUAAUCAGAAUAUGGA
Motacilla alba alba is the source of this 286-nucleotide long non-coding RNA. RefSeq lists it as uncharacterized. The record is from RefSeq and is a predicted model, not a curated record. The transcript is spliced from 3 exons. NCBI's taxonomy places the organism in Eukaryota, Metazoa, Chordata, Aves, Passeriformes, Motacillidae.